UUUAAUUGAAUGCUAAGAGAAUGGAAGUCCAGAAAAAAACUUUUUUUAAAUUAAAAAUUGAAGUUUUUUUAAUUUGUGCAGAAACAAUUAUUUAUAUUAAAGACAAGAAGACCCUAUGAAUUUAUUAAAUUUUUAUUUAAUAUGUAAUUACUAUUAGAAAAAUUUUGGCUGGGGCGGCUAGAAAAUAUUAUGAACUUUUUAAAAAUAAAAUGAUCCAUUAUUAAUGAUUUUAUGUUAAAUACUCUAGGGAUAACAGCGUUAUAUUUUUUGAUAGAUCAUAUUGACAAAAAAGUUUGCGACCUCGAUGUUGGAUUAGGAUACUUUUUUAAUGAAGAUAUUAAAAAAAGAAGUUUGUUCAACUUUUAAUUUCCUACUUGAUCUG
RNAcentral lists this ribosomal RNA (382 nucleotides) under Rhipicephalus sanguineus (brown dog tick). RNAcentral's name for it is "partial large subunit ribosomal RNA". The stretch from base 249 to 382 matches the Rfam family "Archaeal large subunit ribosomal RNA", at positions 2542 to 2676 of the family's 2987-position model. Lineage: Eukaryota; Metazoa; Arthropoda; Arachnida; Ixodida; Ixodidae. The record is from RNAcentral.